UACGUAGGGGGCUAGCGUUGUCCGGAAUCAUUGGGCGUAAAGCGCGUGUAGGCGGUUCGGUAAGUCCGCUGGGAAAGUCGGGGGCUCAACCCUCGGAUGCCGGUGGAUACUGUCGGGCUUGAGUACGGAAGAGGCGAGUGGAAUUCCUGGUGUAGCGGUGAAAUGCGCAGAUAUCAGGAGGAACACCAAUUGCGAAGGCAGCUCGCUGGGACGUUACUGACGCUGAGACGCGAAAGCGUGGGGAGCAAACAGG
Molecule: ribosomal RNA, 253 nt
Filed under: uncultured bacterium
Lineage: Bacteria
Description: partial 16S ribosomal RNA
Rfam family: Bacterial small subunit ribosomal RNA
Source: RNAcentral